Molecule: ribosomal RNA, 90 nt
Filed under: Actinomycetota bacterium
Lineage: Bacteria; Bacillati; Actinomycetota
Description: Actinobacteria bacterium partial 16S ribosomal RNA
Rfam family: Bacterial small subunit ribosomal RNA
Source: RNAcentral
CAUUUAUGGAGAGUUUGAUCCUGGCUCAGGACGAACGCUGGCGGCGUGCUUAACACAUGCAAGUCGAACGGUGAAGGGGAGCUUGCUCCC